Molecule: long non-coding RNA, 220 nt
Filed under: Daucus carota (carrot)
Lineage: Eukaryota; Viridiplantae; Streptophyta; Magnoliopsida; Apiales; Apiaceae
Description: long non-coding RNA (DCAR_LNC007670)
Source: RNAcentral
UACUUCAAUACCCAUUGUUCUUUAUAGAUAAAAUCUUUAGAUAAAUGGGCAAAAGUAGAUUGGCUAGUCUCGUUUUGUGGCCUUUGUUACUCGAGCAAUUAAGUCCGUCGGGGGAUUUCAAAACCUAGUGCCCUAAGACCGUUUGGUUUGGGAGUCACUGACCUAAAGCUCGCUACAUGGGUAACAUUGUUUGCCUAAGAAAACGGACAAAAUAAAGUCA